CUGAGGUAGGUGACUAAAUUGGAACCAAGUAAUUUGAUGAACUCAGAUGUGUGAGCUUCAUUUGUGACACAUGGAGCUACCAUAUAUCAUGCAUAACUUUCAAACUGACGUAGAUCAGGUAUAUGCUUUCUUUCGACCAUAUACCGCUCAAAGGUGGGCUCGGUUUGUAUCUUUUGCACGAAAGAAUGAUUGUUUCUUUUGCUGCCAUCGAAUUGCAUCCACAUAGAUCUUAAAGCAUUCUAAACUCUUUCUUUUAUCCAUUUGCACAAAUCUCAAAAUAGUCAUUGCACGGUCUGACAAGAAUCUGUGCGAAGAAAAUUGAAUUCUUCUUUCAUAGGAAAGAUGCAAUCCAUACUUUUCAAAGAAGAUAUGUCUGGUUGAGAGAAGUUAGACUAUAGAAUAGAAAUAGGAAUGAGUGAUUUUUAUUCUAGCCAUUUGGUUGGCGAGAGUUUCUUUUCCAUAUCGAUUCAAAGGAAGAAUAGAAGUGCUCCAACCCACCAAAAUUUAAUCUUAACUUUUUCUUAGUGUUUGAAUCCCAUUUUGAUUUUUAUUUCGAUUUGAUUCCGAUUGCGAGUCAAACACAUCUUUGCAUUGGACCAUACAAAUUUGGGCCAAUUUAGGCCAAUGGGACCCACUGAACAGAUAAUUGAUCCUUCACCGUAGGUGUCUGCAUCUACUAACCCAAUCAAAUCCAAAGCCAGUAGAGUUGGAAGUACACGGGACGCUGACCACCGAACACGGUAGGCCACUCGGACC
This 756-nucleotide long non-coding RNA is filed under the name Phoenix dactylifera (date palm). RNAcentral describes it as "long non-coding RNA (PDAC_LNC016997)". The record is from RNAcentral. Lineage: Eukaryota; Viridiplantae; Streptophyta; Magnoliopsida; Arecales; Arecaceae.